UAUAUGGUGAUCAAUACACUACAACAACAAAAUCGAGUGCAAGUAGUGUGAAUUCGACGGCUUCAGUAGAUGUGGAGGCUAUGAAAGCUGCAAUUCUGGAGGAGCUCAGAGAGGAGAUGACACAUAAUUUCAACGCCUUUUUGGAGCAAAUGGGUUUACUGACUUUUGCUACAUUCAAGAAGGGUAGUGUUAUUACACCUACCCAGCCUGAUCCAGUUGUAGUACCAAAGUUGAAGGAAGAGACACCAUGUGAACUAUUAGCUUGAGGAGAUGGUUAUGAUUGUUUCACUCUCGUAGCUUAUGACCAUGCACAACCCCCUAGUGACCGAGUACGAUUGCACAUACAGUUUGUGGAUGAUAUUCACUAUAUGGUCAGCCUCAAUGGGAUUGUUUUUGGUUUCGAAGAAUUACCUCUUCCGCUGCCGAAACCAGAAGUUGGUCUACAAUCACUAAAGGAUGCCCUUGACAGUUAUGUUCUAUGGCCGCGUGCGUUGGUGCAGGUUUCAGAUGAGGUUUGGGGAAGGUCGACUCACAUGAUAGGAAGGGAAAGAAGGCAUGUUCACCUGAGGAAGGACGACGUGAUGAAGGUGAACAAAAUGUGGUGAAGGAAAAGGUUUCUAUGACAAGAAUCCACUUAUUAUCGAUCUAGAGGUGGUGCAAGGCCUUAGUACUCUAUGUUGUUGGUUACAUAAGUGCGCUAGCGAUUUAGCCGAUGAUAGUAUCAUUGAGUUUCCUUUGCUGGAGAAACAAUUCCACUACUUUAAGGACUGAUCGACCUUGAUUUCUAAGGUUGAUAUUUAAGAAUUCUUAUGUGGGGUAGAGUUGAAUGUUUCCAUGAUACAAACAUUCAUGAGGGCUCAUUGGACACUGCUUGCGAUAUGUUUGUCACAUAACGAAGUCUACCACUUUGAUUCUUUGCCUCGACAACCACCACGGUUCUUACUAAUCAAAUCAUUGUUAAAUAGUGUGAUGAAGCAUGUUAGUGCAACAGGACUUCAAGCAUCAAAACUCCUGUUUGGAAAUCAGUCGAGUGUCCGCAACAAGAACAUGGACUUUCAUGUGGCUAUUACGUGCUGAGGUACAUGUUCAAUAUCGUCAACCGUUGCACGAAAGUCGAUGAUCUUCAAAAGUUUGAGGGCCUUCACCACAGAAGAAUUACAUAAAGUUCGGGAUAAGUUGGCGUCCCACAUUACCGAUGAUUGCUUACGAUACUUUUAAGCUAUAUCUACUAGUUUGUAUCAAUUCUAUUUACACUUUUUACAUUAUUAAAUAUAUAUUCAAAGUUAAUUAUUGCAUUAAAAAACUUGUCAUAUAUUAUUG
This is a long non-coding RNA of Beta vulgaris subsp. vulgaris (sugar beet), 1320 nucleotides long. RefSeq lists it as uncharacterized. The transcript is spliced from 7 exons. Lineage: Eukaryota; Viridiplantae; Streptophyta; Magnoliopsida; Caryophyllales; Amaranthaceae. The record is from RefSeq and is a predicted model, not a curated record.